CGUAACAAGGUCUCCGUUGGUGAACCAGCGGAGGGAUCAUUACUGAGUUACCGCUCUAUAACCCUUUGUGAACAUACCUACAACUGUUGCUUCGGCGGGUAGGCCGUCCCCUGAAAAGGACGCCUCCCGGCCCGGACCGGACCCCCCGCGGGACCGGACCCGGCGCCCGCCGGAGGAUAACCAAACUCUAUUGUAACGACGUUUCUUCUGAGUGGCAUAAGCAAAAUAAUCAAAACUUUUAACAACGGAUCUCUUGGUUCUGGCAUCGAUGAAGAACGCAGCGAAAUGCGAUAAGUAAUGUGAAUUGCAGAAUUCAGUGAAUCAUCGAAUCUUUGAACGCACAUUGCGCCCGCCAGCAUUCUGGCGGGCAUGCCUGUUCGAGCGUCAUUUCAACCCUCAAGCUCUGCUUGGUGUUGGGGCUCUACGGUCGACGUAGGCCCUCAAAGGUAGUGGCGGACCCUCCCGGAGCCUCCUUUGCGUAGUAACAUUUCGUCUCGCACUGGGAUCCGGAGGGACUCUUGCCGUAAAACCCCCCAAUUUUCCAAAGGUUGAC
Molecule: ribosomal RNA, 553 nt
Filed under: Colletotrichum sp. XL-A39
Lineage: Eukaryota; Fungi; Ascomycota; Sordariomycetes; Glomerellales; Glomerellaceae
Description: eukaryotic LSU rRNA
Rfam family: 5.8S ribosomal RNA (bases 234-387)
Source: RNAcentral